This 133-nucleotide RNase P RNA is filed under the name Actinomycetes bacterium. RNAcentral's name for it is "partial RNase P RNA component class A". It matches the Rfam family "Bacterial RNase P class A", at positions 1 to 133 of the family's 367-position model. From Rfam's summary of the family: Ribonuclease P (RNase P) is a ubiquitous endoribonuclease, found in archaea, bacteria and eukarya as well as chloroplasts and mitochondria. The record is from RNAcentral. Lineage: Bacteria; Bacillati; Actinomycetota; Actinomycetes.
CGAGUUGGCCGGGCGGCCGCGGCGGGUGGGAAACCAUCGGUCGAGGAAAGUCCGGGCUCCACAGGGCAAGGUGGUGGGUAACGCCCACCCGGGGUGACCCGCGGGACAGUGCCACAGAAAACAGACCGCCGUC